Molecule: non-coding RNA, 84 nt
Organism: Lamprotornis superbus
Lineage: Eukaryota; Metazoa; Chordata; Aves; Passeriformes; Sturnidae
Source: the annotation of a GenBank genome assembly
GCUGUGAUGGCCGAGAGGUGAAGGCGUUGGACUCGAAAUCCCAAGUAGGGAUUCCCUGAGCACGUUCGAAUCCUGCUCUCAGCG